AGACUUGUAAAACAGUUGUUUUCUUCUCACACACGCUACGACAAAGAAUAUCAAUAACAUCAUAAUUCGAAUACAAACAAUCGAAUAAAUUACAACAUCCGAACUCCACUAAACUAACCCACUCCCCUUUCAAGGUGGGAAAAGAAAACCUCGUUCCAAAAUCCAUUUUGACAUUCAAAACAUUUUCCAACAACAAUAAGGCUCUCUGAGGACUAAC
RNAcentral lists this unclassified non-coding RNA (217 nucleotides) under Hevea brasiliensis (rubber tree). Lineage: Eukaryota; Viridiplantae; Streptophyta; Magnoliopsida; Malpighiales; Euphorbiaceae. The record is from RNAcentral.